AUGAAAUGUGGCCAGUAUGACUGAGGAACUGAAUCUUUCCUUUCAUUUUAAUUAAUUUAAAUUUAAAUGGCCACAUGUGGCUAGUGGCUACCAUAUUGGACAGCAUGGCUCUAGAUGCAUUUCAGUGUUAUUCCCAUGAGAUUCCCAAAUAAACUUCCUGCAUGCAAAUCUCCAUCUCAGCAUCUGUUUCCCUGAGGAGGAACCAACCUAAGAUGAAUUGCAAAUUAAGAUCUCAGCAGAGAGCAGAGGAGAGAUGAGGCAAAAGGGAAUAUUAGAAAGAUUCAAAGCUUGAAAAGGACUUGAUCCACUAUGAGGCCAUUAAUGAAGGAAUGCAGGCUGCCUGUAACAGUUGAAAAUCACCCCAGCCAACACCCAGCAAGGAAAUGGAGACCAUAGUCCUCUAACUGUAUGGAACUGAAUUCUGCCAACAAUGUGAAUGAGAUGGGAAGUGAAGACCCUCCCAGAGCCUCCAGAAAGGAAGAGAGCCCUGCAGACACCUUGAUUUCAGCCUUCUGAAACUUGGAGCGGAGAGCCAGCUGUGUCAACCUGAACCUGAGCUUUUAACCUACAAAACUGUGAAAUAAUGAA
Long non-coding RNA from Symphalangus syndactylus (siamang), 588 nucleotides. RefSeq lists it as uncharacterized. Lineage: Eukaryota; Metazoa; Chordata; Mammalia; Primates; Hylobatidae. The record is from RefSeq and is a predicted model, not a curated record.